UCCGAGUUGGCCCCGGCGGUCUCCCAUGAGUUCCCGGCAUAACCCGCUGGCAACAUAGGACGAGGGUUGCGCUCGUUGCGGGACUUAACCCAACAUCUCACGACACGAGCUGACGACAGCCAUGCACCACCUGUAUACCGACCACAAGGGGGCACCCAUCUCUGGAUGUUUCCGGUAUAUGUCAAACCCAGGUAAGGUUCUUCGCGUUGCAUCGAAUUAAUCCGCAUGCUCCGCCGCUUGUGCGGGGCCCCGUCAAUUCCUUUGAGUUUUAGCCUUGCGGCCGUACUCCCCAGGCGGGGUACUUAAUGCGUUAGCUACGGCACGGAGAACGUGGAAGUCCCCCACACCUAGUACCCACCGUUUACGGCGUGGACUAC
This 377-nucleotide unclassified non-coding RNA is filed under the name Mycobacteroides abscessus. Its description in RNAcentral is "contains 16S-23S intergenic spacer region". Lineage: Bacteria; Bacillati; Actinomycetota; Actinomycetes; Mycobacteriales; Mycobacteriaceae. The record is from RNAcentral.